This is a long non-coding RNA of Gavialis gangeticus (Gharial), 1974 nucleotides long. RefSeq lists it as uncharacterized. The record is from RefSeq and is a predicted model, not a curated record. The transcript is spliced from 4 exons. Lineage: Eukaryota; Metazoa; Chordata; Crocodylia; Gavialidae.
CCACGGGACAAUCUUCCAAGAAGAACUGCUGGGAAGAGACGGGAUCCACCUGACCAAAAGAGGGAAGAGCAUCUUUGCGGACAGGCUAGCUAACCUAGAGAGGAGGGCUUUAAACUAGGUUCGCUGGGGGAUGGAGACCAAAGCCCUGAGGUUUAUACUAGAGAAAGAUACACCUAAACUUUAGGAAACACUUAAUAAAAAAGCAAGCAUCAAAAGUAAAAGGGACCAGCAGCAUAAACAGGUGGUGGUUACAAACCGCUGAUGCCUGAUAACUUCUCUUCAGAACUACAUCACAGUGAUAAGGAAGAGAAAGGAGAGGGGAUCUUGUCUUUUUCUUACAAACCCCAACUAUCAUUUAAGUCCUGCUGAUAAUGAAAGAGGGAAGUUCUCGUUUCUCCUUUAGGAGACAUUCACCCAGACAAGACAGUAAGAAGCUUUUCAGGUCAGUUUAGUCAGUAAAACACUUGAUUGGGAAUCAGGGAGCCUGGAUUCCAUCCCCAACUCUGCUACCGACCCAUUGUGUGACCCCAGCAAGUCCCCUACCUAUUUACCUCUUUACUCUUUGUCAGUCUUGCUUAUUCAGACUGUACGUGGUUUUUUUGUGCAGGGUCCAUUCCUUAGCAUGUACUUGCAUAAAGUCUAGUGCCCCAAUCUCAGGUGUGACCUUCUGAUUGAAAUCACUAUGACUACUUGCCCUGUAUUACCAAUGCACUGUGAGGGCACAAAAUUGCCCUCUGAAAUGUCUUAUAGACUGACAAAUUUGAAUGACAAGUCUAGACUGUGAAUGAGGAGUUUUGGCACAAACUGGAAUUAAUUGUGACCCCUAUAUUUGGACUGUGCAUGUGGAUUUCAUAGUUUGCCACAUACUAUGUUUCUGAGUCUGAAAACUGAUGAUGCUACUGUGCUCCCCUAUCUCUCCCCACUUCUAUUGCUCUUUGUAGUCAAGAAUCUUAAAAAUAUGAGUAGGAUAGAAGCUGCUACACUGUAGUCUGCCUCUGCAGGUAAAGAGCAUAAGCAAUAGCUGAGAGAUGUGACAUGGUCCAUUCAUCUUCAUUUCAACUCUGAAACCUGGAGAAGACGAUUUAAAAGUCAGCAUUAACUCUUUCACUGCUGACCAUUUUAGCAGAAAGCAGUCAAUUCAUGUGGCAAUCCUACAAAAAGAAGACUGUAAAAAAAAUCAAGAUUAUAAAGAAAUCAAAAGGAAUUAUGGCACUGGGAAAAAUCCCAGCUCUGAGAAAAUUAGUCUUGUAACAGAAAGUUUCCCUCGGUUCCCAUCAAAAUGGAAGGAGUACUUGUUAUAAUACUAACAGAGUCCCAAUACAACAGCUGGGGCAACAACAGAGGUCACUUGCAAAGAGAUCUUUGGAGCUAGAGAAGCAGAAGAAAAGAAAAUCAUUGCUUUGUCAUCUAGUCUAAUCUGAUUAUAGUGGCAACAACCUUAUGACAGAAAAUAAAACCUCUGUGAGAGAUGAGGACUUAAAGCAGGUGGAGGAGGAAAAUAAAUAUUCUAGAGUAGAAUAAUCUUAAAAGAGCCCUUUCCCCAGAGCUACUACAUAUUACUAUGGUUUUAUUGUCAUUGAUAUUACUCUCAAAAUAUGGCCGCUAUACAUUUUUAAAAAAUUGUCAUUAAGAACUGAAUAUCUGUUCCAUUAGGGACUUGAAUGGGAAUGAUAGCUGGAUCUUAGAGAAAGCCUUGUAGCCACAGGCAAUGAGGAAUUAAAUCUGACAUCGCAUCCUAUAAGACCGCUAACUUUAAAACACCUGUUCUAUGGAAUUCAGGGUACUAGGAUGGCUGAGGGAAAUGCAGGGAGGCUGGCGUCAUAUCCCCUGGACUUCCCUUUACAAGCAGAGACAUUCUGGCAACAUGAAACAGAAAGAUGUUUUCACAGAGACUUGCAGAAAAAGGCCGCAGAAGAGCCAGUGGACAAUCUUAUGCUUUUCCUUUUCUAUGCACAUUACACUGGCUAUGAGUAG